RNAcentral lists this ribosomal RNA (252 nucleotides) under uncultured bacterium. Its description in RNAcentral is "partial 16S ribosomal RNA". It matches the Rfam family "Bacterial small subunit ribosomal RNA", at positions 1249 to 1500 of the family's 1533-position model. The record is from RNAcentral.
GCGAACACGUGAGUGCAAGCAAAUCUCAAAAAUAACGUCUCAGUUCGGAUUGUAGUCUGCAACUCGACUACAUGAAGCUGGAAUCGCUAGUAAUCGCGAAUCAGAAUGUCGCGGUGAAUACGUUCCCGGGUCUUGUACACACCGCCCGUCACACCAUGGGAGUCAGUAACGCCCGAAGUCAGUGACCCAACCAUAAGGAGGGAGCUGCCGAAGGUAGGAUUGGCGACUGGGGUGAAGUCGUAACAAGGUAAC